RNAcentral lists this ribosomal RNA (500 nucleotides) under uncultured Planctomycetota bacterium. RNAcentral describes it as "bacterial SSU rRNA". It matches the Rfam family "Bacterial small subunit ribosomal RNA", at positions 117 to 643 of the family's 1533-position model. Lineage: Bacteria; Pseudomonadati; Planctomycetota. The record is from RNAcentral.
GUCGGUACGUGCCCUCAGGUCGGGGAUAGCCAGGGGAAACUCUGAUUAAUACCCGAUAACCUCGAGAGAGCAAAGGUCCGCUGCCGGAGGAGCGGCCGACAUGGUAUCAGGUAGUUGGUGAGGUAACGGCCCACCAAGCCUUAGACGCCUAGGGGGCGUGAGAGCGCGACCCCCACCACUGGGACUGAGAUACUGCCCAGACACCUACGGGUGGCUGCAGUCGAGAAUCUUCCGCAAUGGGCGAAAGCCUGACGGAGCGACGCCGCGUGCGGGAUGAAGGCCCUUGGGUUGUAAACCGCUGUCAGGGGGGAUGAAAGCCGUAAGGCUUGACAGAGCCCCAGAGGAAGCACGGGCUAAGUUCGUGCCAGCAGCCGCGGUAAGACGAACUGUGCGAACGUUAUUCGGAAUCACUGGGCUUACAGGGUGCGUAGGCGGCCUGUUAAGUAGGGUGUGAAAUCCCCCGGCCCAACCGGGGAAUGGCGCUCUAAACUAGCAGGCUU